GUCUAAUACGACCAAGCUAAAUAUUGCUUGAUUCACUUCUACAAGAGGUGUGUAUCAGCUCUAGCUUUGGUGGGUCGCUCACCUUGAGUUCGCUCGGGUUGAGUGUCUGCCUCAGUCAGAUGCAAACUUGUUUUUACAGGGCUGAUGAAAGCCC
RNAcentral lists this unclassified non-coding RNA (154 nucleotides) under Acartia pacifica. RNAcentral's name for it is "trans-spliced leader". The record is from RNAcentral. Lineage: Eukaryota; Metazoa; Arthropoda; Copepoda; Calanoida; Acartiidae.